UUCUUCUUUUCCUUAUUUGGUGUUUUCAGUAAUCAAUUUUACUGUUUCUGGAAUUCCGUUUUCAAAAUUUUGAAUUUGCCUUUGAUUUAUUAUUGUAUGUUUCUGGAAUUUAGUUUAGGUGUUAGGGUUUAUCUGUUGGUUCUACUUUUAAUUUUGUGAUUUAUAGCUUUUUUUUUUAUAAAUUGAUUUAUGUUGGGGAAAAUAAUAGAUAAUGAUAAAUUGAUUCUACAGAAGAAGAUGUGUGUAGAACAUGAUCUCUAUUGUGGAUUAAAUGGGGGCAAUUGAUUUACUGCAAUCUGUGAUUUUGGUAUCGGUGUAAGCGAUAUCGACUUUGGUAGUCAGUGGAUGAAUUCAACAAUUACAAAUCUGAGUAUCAAAUCAGCUCUCAAGUCUUAACAAUUACACACGAAUGACUGUUUUAAUUCUCAAGUUGAAACGACUUUAGAUAUAAUUAGCUUCAAUGAGGUUUAUGAGACCAUCAUCAUCAUCAUCAUCAUCAUCAUCAUUCAUCACUAUUGUUAAUUUGUUAUUAGUUAUUACAGGGGAAUCAUGCAACCUGGAAUCAUUCAGCUUGUCGAUGACUCUAAAUUGAAUCAACUUCAUUUCUAUUUUAUCUACAAUACUUGUGGAUUCCUUUUUAUUUAAGAAGCUUCAGUUUCUGCCACGCUUUAUACAAUACAAUUACCGGCCCAUCCUCUACAAUUGUAUCUUCAAAAUUAUCCCUUAGUUUCAUUCUCAACUACCGGAUUCCCCAUUGAUUCUAAUAUUCUAUCAUCUACAGCAUUUAAAUCUUCGAUUAAAAGUAGUAUAUUAACUCCACAUAGGCUUCCUAUUUCCAACUGAAUAAACUACUGGCAAAGAUAUACCAAGUGUUGCUAGGUUUUACAACAACAGAACAGAUUAUCUUUACUCAAAAUAAUCUAUUCAUGUCAGAUUCAUCAAUUGUUGCUUCCAUCCUAACCCAAAUUAUAACUUCUGGAGAGAAAUCAUAAUUGCAUUCCCAGUGCCAAAUAUUGUUCAACUUCUUCUUCAUAAUCUUAUCUUCAUCUUUCAGCGAUACUCAAGUCUAUAAUAGCAAGGUAAUAUCUAUUUUAAUAAUAGCUAUAAAAUGUUAUUUCAGAUACUUUAUUGGAUCAUCAGCACCCCUUGUAUAAUCAUCUUAGUAAUAUGACUGUCUCCUCUAUCACCUCCUCAUUCUCCUUGUUUGGCUCAGGUGGCUUGAUCAUGCCUGUAGUCACUGAAGAAGAAUUGUCAAUUUUCAAUCAUGGCAUAUUAUGGGACAUUGCUGGCAAAAUGGUGGAGACCAAUCAUAAACUUUUUCAAUAUUUUCCCCUUUAAUAACUCCCUUAUAUGACAGUGAUAUCCAUCUGGAUCAGCAUAUCCUGCCAAAAGACAUACUCUUGCUUGUUCAUUCAUCUGCAAAUAAAGGUCCCCGGCUUAGUAAAUCUACAUUCCAGCAAUUUAAAAAGGCAAGUUUGGAAGUCUUAUCCAUUGAGGAAUAACCCUCAACACCUCCUCACGGUAGUUAAAAUUGGCUGACCAUUCCUUAACAACCGUUGGUCUUCCAUCAAAAGAAUGAGGUCCAGCAUAAGGAACCUCAUUCUUUAUCAUCAGUAAUAGAAAACCUGGUGAUAAAACAAUCAUCAUCAUGUAGAUAAACAUAAGGUUUACCCACAUGGUUCCGCUCAUUAGCAAUAAAUCUCGUUACAGUCAUUAUAGAAGGUGUAUCUCCAACUACAAACAUGACCACUGCAUUUUUCCAACUUCUGAGAGCUGGCCAGCUUCAGAUUUCUUUAGUCUAGCAAUAUUCUUCUUAAUUGCUCAAGUAAUUAUAUUUCCUAUAAGAACUGAGGCCUGUUGAUUAAUGAGGAAGAACAAGUGCCCAUGUUUCAUUGGUUCAUGGGACUCAGAUUCCCCAAUAUUACCAGUUAUAUUAGCCAUUCAACUAUUGCAUAAUUUGCAACAUUAGAUACAGAUACUUUGGGAGGAAACAUUUCAUCACAAACAUUAGCUAGUCCGUCAUUUUUUUUAUAAUAAUACUCAUUCUUCAGUGGCUCUCCUUGACCUUUCAUUAGGAAUACAACUUCUAUUCUGCUUUCCAUGCACAAACAGUUAAUUUCACUAGUUUUUGGCAACCCAAUAACCAUUUGCUUCUGUCUUAACAGAUUCAAGUUUUAAACCCUUUAUUUUAGACGACCAUAUUUAAAUGCUGUAAUUGUGCAACAUUAUUCAUACUGUGUUAGAUUGGAUUUUAAGAUUCACAAGUUCGAUAGAUAAUGAUUAAUGAGCAAGAACCAAAACAUACUGCACAUUUUCAAAAAGUUUCACAUUUCCCUUAACAGUGUUGAUGGAAAUGGUAUUCUUUUCUGAAACCGUAAUUUGUUUAUCUAUCCAACUCUCUGUGGAUCCUAAGUUCUUAAAUAACAGACUUUUUUGUGUAUUUUUUUCUCUGGUCUCUUUUUUAUGCAUCCCAUCAUACAUUGUUUUGCUUAUCUCUGUUCCAAAGUGUUUGUUCGGGUUUACUUUUCACGCAUAUUGAGGUGGAUUUGAAAUGAAUAGGAUUCAGCCAAUUAUGUAUUACUAUUAAGGCUCUGUUUGGCAAGCACUUUCAGUCACCUUAAAUGAUUAGGUGCUAUUAGUAUAAGUCACCUUAAAUGAAUAGAUGUGUUUGGUAAGGAGCUGAAAUAUAAUUUAAGGUGGGUUAACAGACUGAAAUGCAGACGUUAUUCAAAGUAACGUCUGUAGGCGUUUUUUUCCUUCAACCAAAACCCAUAAAAGUUGAUUAAUCAAAUAAAACUAAAAAAAGUCCCCAGGAUCAAUAUUAGGAGGUUAUAUUACAGUAAAGGUUGCAAAUUUGAUAUGCCAAAAUCCUACGGAGUAGAAUUUAAUCCAAACAAAAGUUUAUAUAAGCCAAUAAGCCAUUGAAUCUCGAAUCUCCAAGAUUUUUUUUAUCAGAAAUAAACUAGAAGAAGGCAAGAAGAAAAUAGAAGGAUAGGGGAGAUACUAAGAUAGUUGACUGCUAGUACAGGGUGGAGGAUUUGAUUCAUUUGAUCCCGUUGAGGAAUGAAGAGUAGAUGAAAAGUAGGGAAGGUGAAGUUCUUAGGGUUGGGCUAUUGGCUUUUAUUGGUUUUACAGGAAGGGUUGGGCUUUAUGAGGAAGGUAUGUCCUUGUUUUUGUGUUCACAUUAUGGAAUACCCGUAAAAAAACAUUACAGAUAAAUAAACAAAAUUAGGAGUUACUUGAGAUUGUGUAUUUUAUUUGUAACUAUUCGUGACAAAACAAUAUUUAGAUGUGGUAUACCGGUAUUAUAUAGAAAAUGAAUUUAACAAUUACUUAAAAUUUCAGGUACUUAUAAAAUUAGUUUUACCAAACAGUUGGUGUAAAUCGGUAUCUUAUCAUUUUCAGGACCUUAUUAAUUUCAGGUGCUAGCUUAUCAAUUUCAGUUACCUUAUCAGUUUCAGCUCAAUUUCAGCUAAUGUUACCAAACGGAUAGAAUAAGGUGAUUAAAUGGUGUGCAUAUAUCAAUCAUCAAAGACGGCAAUAGAUAGGCAAAUCAAAUUAGUUAAUUGGAAAAUGACCUAAGAGUGAUGCACAAGGUGGAUGAGGCACUCUAUACAACCCUCUUUAAAUAUACAGUAUUUAUCGGGAUUUAGAGGGAUAAAUGCAAGUCCAAGAAUAUGCCGGAGACCCAAGAGGUCUUUGGUAUUAUCAAUUAUGAAAGGACAAUUUGUUCUAAGACAAGGGUGACUUUUUAGACAAAUGGCUUAUGUAGGUUGCAGUCUCAUAUAGUGACCGGCUUAUAGUAUAAUGGUUGAUGACCUGUGUGAAGCAGGGAGAGUUGAUGAAGUUGCUGGGUUUCGUAGGAGCUUGGAUAAUGCAUGCUAAUGGUUGUAUGCAAACAUCGACUACAUAUAGUUUGGUGUAGAGAAUUGUACCGAAGACAUGCAAAUACAUUUCUCGACAUGGCAAAAGAGGGUGUAGGUGCUGAUCUGGUGGUAUUUAGUGCUGAUAAAUUCCAGAAAUAUAUGUAACUUGAGUGAAAAAAUUAGAUGGGUGGUAAAGGUGAUAUACCUAAUAUUAGGACUUACGACAUGAAAUUGGACAGGGGCACAUUGAUGACUGAAUGAAGUUUUCAAGGUUUUUAAAAGGAUGAUUACAGAUUAAUAGUGUGUGAUGUUCUUUGACAGAGAACAAUUGGAGAUGACUCUGAGGUGUUGAAGUACAAGCAUGAAUACCUAUUCAUUUCUGAUUAAUUGGUAUUUACUAUUUAGAUGUCCUUGAGUUUGUUCAAGAAAAGAAGGAUCUUUUAGUUAAGGAGCCUCUAUGUGAUUGAAGAUAUACAUAGAUUGAGUCAGAAGCAACACAUCACCCAACCUCCGUCUCCCUCUUGAAUUUCAGGGUUGAUAAUAAGAAGACCCUGUAAAGACUUGCUGUUUCCUGGGUGUGUUGGAGCAGAUUUGCUGUUUCCUUUUCUCUACCUGUUGUUCCAUUCCCUGAGACCAAGACGGCAGCCUUUGUUAUCUCCCAACUAACUCAUCAUUUUAGUCAAAGAUUGCUGCAUGAUGUACGUUCGAUCAUGAGCUAGAUAGAUCACGAAGAACUCGUACAUUUGAUCGACUAAAUGUUCCAAGAGCUAAAACAGGAAGCUAUCUAUGUCUCAGCGUGACCAUGUCAUAUUAAGUUGCAAAAUGGAAGUUUGAUACAAAGAGGAGCUCAACAUGUCCGCCAAUCACUUGAUAAUUUGAGUCUUGGUUGAAUAUGUGAAUCAAAAAACAUCAAUCAAGACUUAUAACUUUCAAGAGGCUCGAAUUACAUCUCAUCUACUGAAAUUUAAAGGCUGUUCAGUACUCUCCUACAUUGUAAGAUCUUCAAUUCAUAAUGUCUUAGAAUGAAAUUUCUAAUCAUAUAACCUUAUAAGUUAUAAUACAAUCCUAUUACCUAUAC
Molecule: long non-coding RNA, 4944 nt
Organism: Spinacia oleracea (spinach)
Lineage: Eukaryota; Viridiplantae; Streptophyta; Magnoliopsida; Caryophyllales; Amaranthaceae
Exons: 2
Source: RefSeq, a predicted model, not a curated record